UACGUAGGGUGCAAGCGUUAAUCGGAAUUACUGGGCGUAAAGCGUGCGCAGGCGGUUUGGUAAGACAGAUGUGAAAUCCCCGGGCUCAACCUGGGAAUUGCAUUUGUGACUGCCCGACUAGAGUGUGUCAGAGGGGGGUAGAAUUCCACGUGUAGCAGUGAAAUGCGUAGAGAUGUGGAGGAAUACCGAUGGCGAAGGCAGCCC
RNAcentral lists this ribosomal RNA (204 nucleotides) under uncultured bacterium. RNAcentral describes it as "partial 16S ribosomal RNA". It matches the Rfam family "Bacterial small subunit ribosomal RNA", at positions 524 to 727 of the family's 1533-position model. The record is from RNAcentral.